AUAGCGUUGACAAACCUAUGGACCGUUCAUAAUUUAUGGCUAAGGGGAUGAUGAUUAUUUUUAGGGGUGGGGGUUCGGGGUGUCACCCAUUUUGUUCUGGGGAGGUAGGGGUAGUCAUCAAUUUUGUACACACGUACU
Molecule: long non-coding RNA, 138 nt
Organism: Haliotis rubra (blacklip abalone)
Lineage: Eukaryota; Metazoa; Mollusca; Gastropoda; Lepetellida; Haliotidae
Exons: 3
Source: RefSeq, a predicted model, not a curated record